AGUCGAACGGUGAACACGGAGCUUGCUCUGUGGGAUCAGUGGCGAACGGGUGAGUAACACGUGAGCAACCUGCCCCUGACUCUGGGAUAAGCGCUGGAAACGGCGUCUAAUACUGGAUACGAACCAUGAAGGCAUCUUCAGUGGUUGGAAAGAUUUAUUGGUUGGGGAUGGGCUCGCGGCCUAUCAGCUUGUUGGUGAGGUAAUGGCUCACCAAGGCGUCGACGGGUAGCCGGCCUGAGAGGGUGACCGGCCACACUGGGACUGAGACACGGCCCAGACUCCUACGGGAGGCAGCAGUGGGGAAUAUUGCACAAUGGGCGCAAGCCUGAUGCAGCAACGCCGCGUGAGGGAUGACGGCCUUCGGGUUGUAAACCUCUUUUAGCAGGGAAGAAGCGAAAGUGACGGUACCUGCAGAAAAAGCGCCGGCUAACUACGUGCCAGCAGCCGCGGUAAUACGUAGGGCGCAAGCGUUAUCCGGAAUUAUUGGGCGUAAAGAGCUCGUAGGCGGUUUGUCGCGUCUGCUGUGAAAUCCGGAGGCUCAACCUCCGGCCUGCAGUGGGUACGGGCAGACUAGAGUGCGGUAGGGGAGAUUGGAAUUCCUGGUGUAGCGGUGGAAUGCGCAGAUAUCAGGAGGAACACCGAUGGCGAAGGCAGAUCUCUGGGCCGUAACUGACGCUGAGGAGCGAAAGGGUGGGGAGCAAACAGGCUUAGAUACCCUGGUAGUCCACCCCGUAAACGUUGGGAACUAGUUGUGGGGUCCAUUCCACGGAUUCCGUGACGCAGCUAACGCAUUAAGUUCCCCGCCUGGGGAGUACGGCCGCAA
This 823-nucleotide ribosomal RNA is filed under the name Microbacterium sp. PCA2-12_Pa. Its description in RNAcentral is "bacterial SSU rRNA". It matches the Rfam family "Bacterial small subunit ribosomal RNA", at positions 60 to 891 of the family's 1533-position model. Lineage: Bacteria; Bacillati; Actinomycetota; Actinomycetes; Micrococcales; Microbacteriaceae. The record is from RNAcentral. RNAcentral also lists the same sequence under 1 other name.